GAACCACUUCGGUGGGGAUUAGUGGCGAACGGGUGAGUAACACGUGGGCAAUCUGCCCUUCACUCUGGGACAAGCCCUGGAAACGGGGUCUAAUACCGGAUAACACUGCGGAUCGCAUGGUCUGCGGUUAAAAGCUCCGGCGGUGAAGGAUGAGCCCGCGGCCUAUCAGCUUGUUGGUGAGGUAAUGGCUCACCAAGGCGACGACGGGUAGCCGGCCUGAGAGGGCGACCGGCCACACUGGGACUGAGACACGGCCCAGACUCCUACGGGAGGCAGCAGUGGGGAAUAUUGCACAAUGGGCGAAAGCCUGAUGCAGCGACGCCGCGUGAGGGAUGACGGCCUUCGGGUUGUAAACCUCUUUCAGCAGGGAAGAAGCGAAAGUGACGGUACCUGCAGAAGAAGCGCCGGCUAACUACGUGCCAGCAGCCGCGGUAAUACGUAGGGCGCAAGCGUUGUCCGGAAUUAUUGGGCGUAAAGAGCUCGUAGGCGGCUUGUCACGUCGAUUGUGAAAGCCCGAGGCUUAACCUCGGGUCUGCAGUCGAUACGGGCUAGCUAGAGUGUGGUAGGGGAGAUCGGAAUUCCUGGUGUAGCGGUGAAAUGCGCAGAUAUCAGGAGGAACACCGGUGGCGAAGGCGGAUCUCUGGGCCAUUACUGACGCUGAGGAGCGAAAGCGUGGGGAGCGAACAGGAUUAGAUACCCUGGUAGUCCACGCCGUAAACGGUGGGCACUAGGUGUUGGCGACAUUCCACGUCGUCGGUGCCGCAGCUAACGCAUUAAGUGCCCCGCCUGGGGAGUACGGCCGCAA
Molecule: ribosomal RNA, 805 nt
Filed under: Streptomyces seoulensis
Lineage: Bacteria; Bacillati; Actinomycetota; Actinomycetes; Kitasatosporales; Streptomycetaceae
Description: bacterial SSU rRNA
Rfam family: Bacterial small subunit ribosomal RNA
Source: RNAcentral